AUUGAACGCUGGCGGCAUGCCUUACACAUGCAAGUCGAACGGUAACGCGGGGCAACCUGGCGACGAGUGGCGAACGGGUGAGUAAUAUAUCGGAACGUGCCCAGUAGUGGGGGAUAGCCCGGCGAAAGCCGGAUUAAUACCGCAUACGACCUACGGGUGAAAGCAGGGGAUCGCAAGACCUCGCGCUAUUGGAGCGGCCGAUAUCAGAUAGGUAGUUGGUGGGGUAAAGGCCUACCAAGCCGACGAUCUGUAGCUGGUCUGAGAGGACGACCAGCCACACUGGGACUGAGACACGGCCCAGACUCCUACGGGAGGCAGCAGUGGGGAAUUUUGGACAAUGGGCGCAAGCCUGAUCCAGCCAUGCCGCGUGCGGGAAGAAGGCCUUCGGGUUGUAAACCGCUUUGUCAGGGAAGAAAUCCUCUGAGUUAAUACCUCGGGGGGAUGACGGUACCUGAAGAAUAAGCACCGGCUAACUACGUGCCAGCAGCCGCGGUAAUACGUAGGGUGCAAGCGUUAAUCGGAAUUACUGGGCGUAAAGCGUGCGCAGGCGGUUGUGCAAGACAGGUGUGAAAUCCCCGGGCUUAACCUGGGAACUGCACUUGUGACUGCACAGCUGGAGUGCGGCAGAGGGGGAUGGAAUUCCGCGUGUAGCAGUGAAAUGCGUAGAUAUGCGGAGGAACACCGAUGGCGAAGGCAAUCCCCUGGGCCUGCACUGACGCUCAUGCACGAAAGCGUGGGGGAGCAAAACAGGAUUAGAUA
RNAcentral lists this ribosomal RNA (759 nucleotides) under uncultured bacterium. Its description in RNAcentral is "bacterial SSU rRNA". It matches the Rfam family "Bacterial small subunit ribosomal RNA", at positions 28 to 784 of the family's 1533-position model. The record is from RNAcentral.